AUGGUUACCCUUACAAAAACACUGACUUUGUUUCUCAAAUACAGUAAGUGCUUUUUGUUGGGGUAGUUUUG
RNAcentral lists this microRNA precursor (71 nucleotides) under Gasterosteus aculeatus (three-spined stickleback). Its description in RNAcentral is "miR-430 microRNA precursor family". It matches the Rfam family "miR-430 microRNA precursor family". The record is from Rfam by way of RNAcentral. Lineage: Eukaryota; Metazoa; Chordata; Actinopteri; Perciformes; Gasterosteidae.